Molecule: long non-coding RNA, 871 nt
Filed under: Sorghum bicolor (sorghum)
Lineage: Eukaryota; Viridiplantae; Streptophyta; Magnoliopsida; Poales; Poaceae
Description: long non-coding RNA (SBIC_LNC000417)
Source: RNAcentral
ACAUAGUAGGAAGGGGUUUCAUGAAGAACUAUGAUAUUUGAGACCAUCAUGGUGAGAGAUGUACAAAAAUAGGCAACAAGGAAACUAUAGGUGCACCAUAAGUAAGGGAAGAUGAUGAUGCCCCAUCUUGUCAUGAUACAUGAUGGUACAAGAGAUGAUGUUGUCGGCGGUGGUGGUGGCAAAGGCUAUGCUAGUGGAGAAGGUUGUGAUGGGGAGGAUGACGGUGAACACAAUGAAGAAGCGGAAGAGGAAGACUUCCUAGAUGACAUGUUGCGUCAGGUAGAGUAAGAAUUACUAUGCAAGGGCUAAAUAACUUGGAGAGGACACAAAAUGCAAGGAAAGAAUGUUUGUACCUUGAGAAAAAGGCUUAUGAGAAAAGGUGGUCAUUGCUACAUUUUGUGCUAGACAUACUGAGUUGAUUUUGUGCUUGCAACCAAACUUUGGGCCCACCAAUACAUAUCAAGUGAAGAAGCUUACACAAAUACAUUAAUCUUUAUCGAGGUGGGCAAAAAGCAUUAACCGAGGUGGUUUUUGCAACCGCCUCAAACCAAAAGUCAUGGUUAAUCGUGACCUUAACUGAGACGGUUUCCCUGCCCACCUAGGUAAAUCAAAAUAAAAAACAACAAAAGAAAAAAUCUAUGGAGAGGCCACAAGAGCCCAUCCUUAGUCCCACCAAGCCCAUUCAUGGCCCAGUGCCACCACUCACCAAUCCUGACACCAGCCGCUUUCCUUGCCCGUCAGAUCCACCUCUCCGCCACUGGAUCUAGCCUCACCAGCCGUGGAUGGCUGCCGGGAAGCGCGCCGGCCAUGGAUCUACUGCCGACGCUAGAUCUAGGCCUACCAAAGCCGUUGCUGCCAGAUAUGGGCCCCC